CCUACGGGAGGCAGCAGUGAGGAAUAUUGGUCAAUGGGCGGAAGCCUGAACCAGCCAAGUAGCGUGCAGGAUGACGGCCCUACGGGUUGUAAACUGCUUUUAUAUGGGAAUAAAAUGUUCCACGUGUGGGAUUUUGUAUGUACCAUAUGAAUAAGGAUCGGCUAACUCCGUGCCAGCAGCCGCGGUAAUACGGAGGAUCCGAGCGUUAUCCGGAUUUAUUGGGUUUAAAGGGAGCGUAGGUGGAUUUUUAAGUCAGUUGUGAAAGUUUGCGGCUUAACCGUAAAAUUGCAGUUGAAACUGGCAGUCUUGAGUACAGUAGAGGUGGGCGGAAUUCGUGGUGUAGCGGUGAAAUGCUUAGAUAUCACGAAGAACUCCGAUUGCGAAGGCAGCUCACUGGACUGCAACUGACACUGAGGCUCGAAAGUGUGGGUAUCAAACAGGAUUAGAUACCCCUGUAGUC
This 460-nucleotide ribosomal RNA is filed under the name uncultured bacterium. RNAcentral's name for it is "partial 16S ribosomal RNA". It matches the Rfam family "Bacterial small subunit ribosomal RNA", at positions 338 to 795 of the family's 1533-position model. The record is from RNAcentral.